GUAGGUAUUGCUCAGUGGUAGAGCACAUGCUUAGCAUGCAUGAGGUCCUGGGUUCAGUCCCCAGUACCUCCA
Molecule: transfer RNA, 72 nt
Filed under: Camelus bactrianus (Bactrian camel)
Lineage: Eukaryota; Metazoa; Chordata; Mammalia; Artiodactyla; Camelidae
Also listed under: 2 other names
Rfam family: tRNA
About the family: Transfer RNA (tRNA) molecules are approximately 80 nucleotides in length. Their secondary structure includes four short double-helical elements and three loops (D, anti-codon, and T loops). Further hydrogen bonds mediate the characteristic L-shaped molecular structure. tRNAs have two regions of fundamental functional importance: the anti-codon, which is responsible for specific mRNA codon recognition, and the 3' end, to which the tRNAs corresponding amino acid is attached (by aminoacyl-tRNA synthetases). tRNAs cope with the degeneracy of the genetic code in two manners: having more than one tRNA (with a specific anti-codon) for a particular amino acid; and 'wobble' base-pairing, i.e. permitting non-standard base-pairing at the 3rd anti-codon position.
Source: Rfam by way of RNAcentral